Myiozetetes cayanensis is the source of this 509-nucleotide long non-coding RNA. RefSeq lists it as uncharacterized. The record is from RefSeq and is a predicted model, not a curated record. Lineage: Eukaryota; Metazoa; Chordata; Aves; Passeriformes; Tyrannidae. The transcript has 3 exons.
CGAAAGCUCUCCUUGGUCCCCGUGUUAGUUCGGCCCUGACCGCGCUUUUGCUGUGUUCUGCGGUGCUGUUGUACCUGGAGUUCUCUCCAAUGGUUCCCUUGCGAAGAAUCCUGCAGGAAAGACACACAGAUGAUCAGACUGCAGAUGAUACAGUGGCCUCCUCUUCAGAGGACACACUGAAAUUCUACCUGAUCCUGCUGCCUGACAACACGGUGUGUUUUCUAACAUGAUUGGGAAACUUGUCAACAUCGAAGUAGGUGUGUGAUGAACAGAAAGGUAACCUGAGCGGCUUGCCCAGUUUAAGAUGACUUAAACACAGCUGCAACACUCCACAAAACCAUGGGAAUGAUGAACUGUAACAUACCCCAGGUUUAAAAUGCGUUCGUCUUUCACGGGCCUUUCACCAGACUGGGACUUCAAUUUCUUUUCUUCUUGCCUGAAAAAUCAAAAAGAAGCAAUGAGAAGGCAAAAUAAUAUCAUUCCACAGAAUAAAUCCAUCUGAGCAUAUA